UGGAAAAUCUGGGCAGCAGCCCGAUUCUCGCCGGAAAUCGCCUUGAUUUUUCGUCCGGCCAUAUCUUCCUCCUCCGGCCACCGAUCCUCACCAAACUUCUUCCAUUGGCUUCGUAUGGUCCUUGCGCACCUGUCUGUGGCAACAUUUCACGGCGGCGCGGCCCGUAACUGCGGCGGCAAGAUUGGUCCGAUUUGAGCUCGAUUUUGAGUCAACGCCGAUAUCUUGAGUUUCCGGCCACUUUUCUUUGUGAUUCUUGGCUUGAUGAACUCGUCUUGAGUUUCUGAACCAGUCUCCAGAAGGAAUCGAAGCGAGUGGUGGACGUUUUCACGUUGAUCGGAGAUCGCGCCGGAUUCUGCAAAUUUUCCGACCACCGAAGCUUUCGAUCGGUAUAUCUCGAGCUACAGACCAUAUUUUUCUGUGAUUCUUGAACCAAUGAGUUCGUCUUGAGUUUCUUAACAACUCUCUAGAAGGAAUCGAAGCCUGAAAUUGAAGUUUUGACGUCGAAAUCAAGCCUUGCCGGAUUCUGCAAAUUUCGCCGGAUUCUGGAAAUUUUCCGGCCACCUCGACUGUUCUAGGUGAUCGAUGGAUUUAUUUGGCGGACGAUUCGUGAGAUUGUUAAUGGAGCUGUUAAGAAGACGCAGCUGGAUUAGAGCGGGUAAUCUUACAGGUCAGGAAAAUCAGGGCAGUGAUCGUGCGGGUUAGAGUAUUUGUUAUAGUUUUACAGCAAUUGUAAUAGUGAGGUGAGUUAAGCUCAUUUGAGCCUUACAAUUUGAUUUGGUGAGAGUGUCUGUAAUAAAUAACUUGAGGAUUUGGCUUAUUGUAUAUUGAGAGGUGUGAAGUGUGGUUGUUUGUGAGAAAAAAAUUCAGGACGUUAUUUGUUAUUGAUGUUAAUCAUGUUUCGGAACUUGAAUCAUUUAUUCAAAAUUCGGGGCGUGACAAUCCUAAUGCAAUUAGGAUGUUAAUUCCAACCCCUCUGCAAACGUUCAUCCUGCACUACUUUUUUUUAUGUAUUUUAUAACAGUAACAAGAAUACUACGUUUUGACU
This is a long non-coding RNA of Rosa rugosa (rugosa rose), 1045 nucleotides long. RefSeq lists it as uncharacterized. The transcript has 3 exons. The record is from RefSeq and is a predicted model, not a curated record. NCBI's taxonomy places the organism in Eukaryota, Viridiplantae, Streptophyta, Magnoliopsida, Rosales, Rosaceae.